RNAcentral lists this long non-coding RNA (576 nucleotides) under Salvia miltiorrhiza (redroot sage). RNAcentral's name for it is "long non-coding RNA (SMIL_LNC006955)". Lineage: Eukaryota; Viridiplantae; Streptophyta; Magnoliopsida; Lamiales; Lamiaceae. The record is from RNAcentral.
AACAAAAUGCGAUCAGAGUGGGCAGAUUUUGUUCAAGAACAUAUAAAUGAGUAAAAGGUAAUGUAUAUUUAUCUAGACUUUAAUUGUCAGUGAUAGUUGGGAAGAAUGGUGUUAUAUUUUGUAUGGAUCUUUGUGAAUUCAUUGGAAAAUAAGUUUGUGUACUAUAGUUUUAAUUGUUAAUUUGUUGUUGAUGAGUUUGGGACAUGUAUUAUUGUAAUGUAAUUAAUUGUGUAUUGACGGAAGAAUAACAUGUGGCUAAUUUGUUAUUUAUCAUUUUGAUUGUGAUUGUCAUUCAGAUUGUGUGAAGGCUAUAUGGUGAAGGCAAAGAAGACGAUACUGGACAUAUUGGUUGAUGCAACACAUUUUGAAGGAACGAAGGAGCAAUAAGUGUCAACUCAUUUGAAUGUUAGGAGUGAAUUUAUUUGGUAGUGGAUCCUGUUAACUCAUUUUAGUUAUAGUUAUUGUUAUGAUUAUUAACUUAUUUUGUAAUGGAUAUGGUAGACUUGAUUUGUUCGAAUCUUAAGUUAUAAUGAAUAUUGAAAUUUUAUCAUGAUUAUGUUAUAAAUGAAGAUGUUU